GUAGGUGAACCUGCGGAAGGAUCAUUACAACGUCCAAACGACAAACCAAUCGUGAACUUAGUACCCUUUGGACUAAAGGCAGACUGGAUGUAAACCCUUGUGAUGAAGGCGUCUCGGCGUCUUGGGUUGAUCCGAUCGCAGCAUUUCGGUGCUGACUUUGGCUUCCGAAGCGGUUUAUCUACAUCACUUCUAACAUUACUAAACCCUUUAACACUUUUGAACUGACUUCUUGUUAAUGCGGUGCUCCUCG
Molecule: unclassified non-coding RNA, 250 nt
Filed under: plant metagenome
Description: partial contains small subunit ribosomal RNA, internal transcribed spacer 1, and 5.8S ribosomal RNA
Source: RNAcentral